Drosophila sechellia is the source of this 597-nucleotide long non-coding RNA. RefSeq lists it as uncharacterized. The record is from RefSeq and is a predicted model, not a curated record. The transcript has 2 exons. Lineage: Eukaryota; Metazoa; Arthropoda; Insecta; Diptera; Drosophilidae.
GACAGCAUAAUUUCUCGCGGCGUUCGAUUUAGUAUCUCUAUCUGUUGUGAAUCGCUAGCGGAAUCGGAUCGUUGGAUCGUUGGCUCGGAAUGAAAAUAUCGAACUCGCAAACGGAUCGCAAACUGAUCUGCCGAAAUCGAAUCGAAUCGAAAUCUCAAAAUCUCGAAAUCCCGAAAACCGAAAAACUGAAGAAGCGGCGCUGCGGACGCGUACAAACGUACUGACGGAUAUGCCGUCGUUGACGUCGUAACGCCAAAUGUUUUCACUUUAUUUUGGGAAAUUUCACGACUUAUGACAGCGGAAUUGCACUUUACUGGAUGAAAUUAAAUUUAAUUGGCACCGCUUCACUCACGUCCGAUGAUCGAUUGCGAUUGUUUCGAUUGUCGUCGAAUGGAAACGAUAUUACGAUGUGACACGGACACUAGCGAAGCGAGCCGAUUGAUUCGGAUUGAGGAUUGGAAAUGAAAAUAUUGUACAAGAAUCUAUAUGUGCGAGGAGGUAUAGACGUGUGUAUAUUUCCUACACUUCACUUUACUGGCGCAGAAAAUCGCAUAUACACCGAGAAUGUAUAAUUAUAAAUAAAUGUUCUAUAAAAAA